This 702-nucleotide ribosomal RNA is filed under the name uncultured Alphaproteobacteria bacterium. Its description in RNAcentral is "bacterial SSU rRNA". It matches the Rfam family "Bacterial small subunit ribosomal RNA", at positions 42 to 790 of the family's 1533-position model. Lineage: Bacteria; Pseudomonadati; Pseudomonadota; Alphaproteobacteria. The record is from RNAcentral.
UCAGGCCUAACACAUGCAAGUCGAGCGCGCCCUUCGGGGUGAGCGGCGGACGGGUUAGUAACGCGUGGGAAUAUACCCUUUGGUACGGAAUAGCCUCUGGAAACGGAGAGUAAUACCGUAUGAGCCCUUCGGGGGAAAGAUUUAUCGCCAAAGGAUUAGCCCGCGUUAGAUUAGGUAGUUGGUGGGGUAAUGGCCUACCAAGCCUACGAUCUAUAGCUGGUUUUAGAGGAUGAUCAGCAACACUGGGACUGAGACACGGCCCAGACUCCUACGGGAGGCAGCAGUGGGGAAUCUUGGACAAUGGGGGCAACCCUGAUCCAGCCAUGCCGCGUGAGUGAUGAAGGCCUUAGGGUCGUAAAGCUCUUUCGCCUGUGAAGAUAAUGACGGUAGCAGGUAAAGAAACCCCGGCUAACUCCGUGCCAGCAGCCGCGGUAAUACGGAGGGGGUUAGCGUUGUUCGGAAUUACUGGGCGUAAAGCGCACGUAGGCGGACUGGAAAGUUGGGGGUGAAAUCCCGGGGCUCAACCCCGGAACUGCCUCCAAAACUAUCAGUCUAGAGUUCGAGAGAGGUGAGUGGAAUUCCGAGUGUAGAGGUGAAAUUCGUAGAUAUUCGGAGGAACACCAGUGGCGAAGGCGGCUCACUGGCUCGAUACUGACGCUGAGGUGCGAAAGUGUGGGGAGCAAACAGGAUUAGAUACCCUGU